Molecule: non-coding RNA, 183 nt
Organism: Acaryochloris marina MBIC11017
Lineage: Bacteria; Bacillati; Cyanobacteriota; Cyanophyceae; Acaryochloridales; Acaryochloridaceae
Rfam family: 6S / SsrS RNA
About the family: E. coli 6S RNA was the first non coding RNA to be sequenced, but its function was unknown until recently. It consists of 184 nucleotides that fold into an extended hairpin structure with a large single-stranded internal bulge.
Source: Rfam
CGAUUCCUGCGACGUUGGUGACUGCCAAUAUUGUUUUUUGAUCUAUACCUUUAACGCUAGGGAGCCAUUUGCUCGAUAGCAGUAGACCAAGCUUGUACUUGGAAACUUUAAAUCGAUGUUUUCAACUCCCACCUGGAUGAUUCCAGGUCAAAAACUGAGGUAAGACGGCGUUGCGGGAAAAGC